AACACUGUUAACCUGCGGUACCUGCGGAGGGAUCAUUACAGAGGAUUAGAUAUCCCAAUGCGAUUGGAUUACUAUUAUCCAUGCUCGAUUCUUGUGUGCAUUUAUACGAUGUUUACUUUGGCAGAUUUCUUUGAAUAUCCGAAGAAGAAAAACGUCUAUUUUUCUUUCUCUCGGAUAAAGGAGAGAGAGAGAGAGAGAGAGAGAUGGAGUUUCUCCUCCUCUCUUUUUCAGAUCUGCCAG
This 240-nucleotide unclassified non-coding RNA is filed under the name soil metagenome. RNAcentral's name for it is "partial contains 5.8S ribosomal RNA, internal transcribed spacer 2, and large subunit ribosomal RNA". The record is from RNAcentral.